This 253-nucleotide ribosomal RNA is filed under the name uncultured bacterium. RNAcentral's name for it is "partial 16S ribosomal RNA". It matches the Rfam family "Bacterial small subunit ribosomal RNA", at positions 524 to 776 of the family's 1533-position model. The record is from RNAcentral.
UACGUAGGGUGCGAGCGUUAAUCGGAAUUACUGGGCGUAAAGCGUGCGCAGGCGGUUGUGCAAGACCGAUGUGAAAUCCCCGGGCUUAACCUGGGAAUGGCAUUGGUGACUGCACGGCUAGAGUGUGUCAGAGGGGGGUAGAAUUCCACGUGUAGCAGUGAAAUGCGUAGAGAUGUGGAGGAAUACCGAUGGCGAAGGCAGCCCCCUGGGAUAACACUGAUGCUCAUGCACGAAAGCGUGGGGAGCAAACAGG